Molecule: ribosomal RNA, 253 nt
Filed under: uncultured bacterium
Lineage: Bacteria
Description: partial 16S ribosomal RNA
Rfam family: Bacterial small subunit ribosomal RNA
Source: RNAcentral
AACGUAGGGGGCGAGCGUUGCCCGGAUUCACUGGGCGUAAAGCGGGUGUAGGCGGUUCCUUAAGUCGGAUGUGAAAUCCUGCGGCCCAACCGCGGAACUGCAUCCGAUACUGGGGAACUUGAGGACGGUAGAGGUCGGUGGAAUAUCCGGUGUACCGGUGAAAUGGGCAGAUAUCGGAUAGAACACCAGUGGCGAAGGCGGCCGACUGGGCCGAUCCUGACGCUGAGACCCGAAAGCUAGGGUAGCGAACCGG